Molecule: long non-coding RNA, 204 nt
Filed under: Elaeis guineensis (African oil palm)
Lineage: Eukaryota; Viridiplantae; Streptophyta; Magnoliopsida; Arecales; Arecaceae
Description: long non-coding RNA (EGUI_LNC037955)
Source: RNAcentral
GAGACUUGGUUCUAAAGAAAGUAGAAAUCUUAAAACCUUUGGAUCAAGAAAAGCUAUCUCCGAAUUGGAAAGGACCUUAUAGAAUAGCCGAAACACUCAGACUAGGCGCAUAUCGGCUAGAGACACUUGAAGGGUCAGCUAUUCUUCGAAUAUGGAAUGCUGACAAUUUAAAAAUAUAUCAUCAAUAAAAUUAUCCAUGUAUAC